RNAcentral lists this ribosomal RNA (468 nucleotides) under uncultured bacterium. RNAcentral describes it as "partial 16S ribosomal RNA". It matches the Rfam family "Bacterial small subunit ribosomal RNA", at positions 28 to 507 of the family's 1533-position model. The record is from RNAcentral.
GACGAACGCUGGCGGCGUGCUUAACACAUGCAAGUCGAACGGAAAGGCCCUGCUUUUGUGGGGUGCCCGAGUGGCGAACGGGUGAGUAACACGUGAGUAACCUGCCCUGGACUUUGGGAUAACUUCAGGAAACUGGGGCUAAUACCGGAUAGGAGCUCCUGCUGCAUGGUGGGGGUUGGAAAGUUUCGGCGGUUGGGGAUGGACUCGCGGCUUAUCAGCUUGUUGGUGGGGUAGUGGCUUACCAAGGCUUUGACGGGUAGCCGGCCUGAGAGGGUGACCGGCCACAUUGGGACUGAGAUACGGCCCAGACUCCUACGGGAGGCAGCAGUGGGGAAUAUUGCACAAUGGGCGGAAGCCUGAUGCAGCAACGCCGCGUGCGGGAUGACGGCCUUCGGGUUGUAAACCGCUUUCGCCUGUGACGAAGCGUGAGUGACGGUAAUGGGUAAAGAAGCACCGGCUAACUACGUG